GUGUGUUUGUUUUAUUUCUUUGCAAUUUACAUGCUUCUGCAGUGCACAACAUAUUUGUAGAAAUUAAAUUUUAGAAUCAUACAUAUAUAACUUGAAAACACCAAUAUUAUAAAAUUACUCGCACUAAUGUGAAAUCUAUAAAAAGCUAAAAAAGAAGAAUGCAUUGAAACUUGAAUUCUAGAGUAAAAUUAAUUAACAUAUAAAAGUAAAACUAGAUCUUUUAAUAUUAAAAUACCAAACAACUAUUAACAAUAUAUACAAGUAGCAUUUUCAUAGCAUCCCUUAGGGUAUUCGCAAUGGUUUACUCUUACCUAUUCCCUCCUUUCAAAUGACAACUUUUACUCACAACACACAAACAUGAUUAAAAGACUAUAUUUACAUUUUUAUUGCAAUUUUCAUUUAUCUUUACAUAAUUGUAUUUAUAUAAUCUACUAAACAAAUGAAUUUAUAUUUAACAUAUAUAAAAAUAAAAAUUAAAGUGUUUACUAAAUCGAAAUAACAAUUCGUAAGUAUAACGCUUGUAUAUUUAACACAUAUAAAAAUUAAAGACUUUUACCUGUUUCAUGUUUGGCCGAGAGUU
Molecule: unclassified non-coding RNA, 580 nt
Filed under: Hevea brasiliensis (rubber tree)
Lineage: Eukaryota; Viridiplantae; Streptophyta; Magnoliopsida; Malpighiales; Euphorbiaceae
Source: RNAcentral